Long non-coding RNA from Manacus vitellinus (golden-collared manakin), 255 nucleotides. RefSeq lists it as uncharacterized. Lineage: Eukaryota; Metazoa; Chordata; Aves; Passeriformes; Pipridae. The record is from RefSeq and is a predicted model, not a curated record. The transcript has 3 exons.
ACAAGAUGAUUGAUUAGUGCAGGACCUGAGAGAACCCCUGAGAAAAUGGGGCAAGCGGGCAGGAAGAAGAGAAGCCCCCUGACUCCUCCCUGAGCCCCAGACAGCCCAUGAACUGCCUUGCUGGGAAUGGUGGGACGGGCUGGACUCUGCAUUGCUCCCUCGGGAUGUGUGGCUCUCCCCUCAGGAACUGCAGGAACUCCUGGUGCCGCCUGGGCCGAUGGAUUGGACGCCCCAGCCCCUCCGUUCCUGCCCAGC